CCUACGGGUGGCAGCAGUCGAGAAUCAUUCACAAUGGGGGAAACCCUGAUGGUGCGACGCCGCGUGGGGGAAUGAAGGUCUUCGGAUUGUAAACCCCUGUCAUGUGGGAGCAAAUGAAAAAGAUAGUACCACAAGAGGAAGAGACGGCUAACUCUGUGCCAGCAGCCGCGGUAAUACAGAGGUCUCAAGCUUUGUUCGGAACCACUGGGCGUAAAGCGUGCGUAGGCUGUUUCGUAAGUCGUGUGUGAAAGGCGCGGGCUCAACCCGCGGACGGCACAUGAUACUGCGAGACUAGAGUAAGGGAGGGGGAACCGGAAUUCGCGGUGUAGCAGUGAAAUGCGUAGAUAUCGAGAGGAACACUCGUGGCGAAGGCGGGUUCCUGGACAUUAACUGACGCUGAGGCACGAAGGCCAGGGGAGCGAAAGGGAUUAGAUACCCUUGUAGUC
RNAcentral lists this ribosomal RNA (446 nucleotides) under uncultured bacterium. RNAcentral describes it as "partial 16S ribosomal RNA". It matches the Rfam family "Bacterial small subunit ribosomal RNA", at positions 338 to 795 of the family's 1533-position model. The record is from RNAcentral.